UUCCGGUUGAUCCCGCCGGACCUGACUGCUAUCGGAUUGAUACUAAGCCAUGCGAGUCAUUGCAGCAAUGCAAGGCAGACGGCUCAGUAACGCGUAGUCAACCUAACCUAUGGACGGGAAUAACCUCGGGAAACUGAGAAUAAUGCCCGAUAGAACACUAUACCUGGAAUGGGUUGUGUUCCAAAUGAUUUAUCGCCGUAGGAUGGGACUGCGGCCUAUCAGUUUGUUGGUGAGGUAAUGGCCCACCAAGACUAUUACAGGUACGGGCUCUGAGAGGAGUAGCCCGGAGAUGGGUACUGAGACACGGACCCAGGCCCUAUGGGGCGCAGCAGGCGAGAAAACUUUGCAAUGUGCGAAAGCACGACAAGGUUAAUCCGAGUGGUUUCUGCUAAAGGAACCUUUUGUUAGUCCUAGAAACACUAACGAAUAAGGGGUGGGCAAGUUCUGGUGUCAGCCGCCGCGGUAAAACCAGCACCUCAAGUGGUCAGGAUGAUUAUUGGGCCUAAAGCAUCCGUAGCCGGCUCUGUAAGUUUUCGGUUAAAUCUGUACGCUCAACGUACAGGCUGCCGGGAAUACUGCAGAGCUAGGGAG
Molecule: ribosomal RNA, 591 nt
Filed under: uncultured archaeon
Lineage: Archaea
Description: bacterial SSU rRNA
Rfam family: Archaeal small subunit ribosomal RNA
Source: RNAcentral